GUGGCUAUGAGAGGGGAGAAGGUUAGCACUCCCCCGGAGAAGGACGGAAGAGGUCCUGGUGACCUUUACAACACACAUGUGGUUAAGGCAUUGCCACCUGCUUCGUGGCAUCUAACCUAAUUUA
This is a small nuclear RNA of Ornithorhynchus anatinus (platypus), 124 nucleotides long. NCBI's taxonomy places the organism in Eukaryota, Metazoa, Chordata, Mammalia, Monotremata, Ornithorhynchidae. The record is from RefSeq and is a predicted model, not a curated record.